Molecule: RNA transcript, 2958 nt
Organism: Canis lupus familiaris (dog)
Lineage: Eukaryota; Metazoa; Chordata; Mammalia; Carnivora; Canidae
Gene: CARS2
Gene name: cysteinyl-tRNA synthetase 2, mitochondrial
Exons: 17
Source: RefSeq, a predicted model, not a curated record
GAUGUCGUGCUGUGUAAGCGCCAGGAUCAUGGUCAGCGACCCCAUGGCCUCCUGGGAUUCUGCCCAAUUUAUAAAUAAGCCGCCCGAGGCUUCCAUGAUUAAAUAUCUUGGCAAGGAGUUUCCGAGCAACCUCGCUUGCUCAUAUGUUAGGUUUGAUAUCAUCCGGAGGAUCCUCACCAGGGUUUUUGGAUACAACGUCAUCAUGGUGAUGGGAAUCACAGAUGUGGACGAUAAAAUUAUUCACAGAGCCUCCGAGAUGAACAUGUCACCUGCUUCUCUUGCCAACCUCUAUGAAGAGGAAUUUAAACAAGACAUGGCAGCCUUGAAGGUCCUGCCCCCCACGGUGUACGUGAGGGUAACCGAAACCAUCCCCCAGAUCAUUUCUUUCAUCGAGGGCAUCAUUGCUAACGGGCACGCUUAUUCAACAGCGCAAGGCAAUGUCUACUUCGAUCUGCAGUCGAGAGGAGACAAGUACGGCAAGCUAGUUGGUGUGGUCCCCGGUCCCCUUGGAGAGCCAGUUGAUUCCGACAAGCGGCAUGCCAGCGACUUUGCCCUGUGGAAGGCAGCCAAACCCCAGGAGGUGUUCUGGGCCUCUCCUUGGGGAAAGGGAAGACCUGGCUGGCACAUAGAAUGUUCCACCAUCUCAAGCUUGGUGUUUGGAAGCCAGCUGGACAUCCACUCGGGUGGGGUCGAUUUAGCUUUUCCGCAUCACGAGAACGAGAUUGCCCAGUGCGAGGCCUUCCAUCAGUGCAAGCAGUGGGGAAAUUAUUUUCUGCAUUCCGGGCAUUUGCAUGUGAAAGGCAAAGAAGAAAAAAUGUCCAAAUCACUGAAAAAUUACAUUACUAUUAAGGACUUUCUGAAGACGUUUUCCCCCGAUGUCUUCCGGCUCUUCUGCAUGCGGAGCAGCUACCGGGCAGCCAUUGACUACAGCGACGGCACCAUGCUGGAAGCCAAGCACCUCCUCCUGGUGGUGGCAGCGUUUGUGGAGGACGCCCGGGCCUACAUGAAGGGGCAGCUGGUGUGCGGCCCCAUCAGGGACGAUGUGCUGUGGGAGAGGCUCUGCCACACCCAGGAAGCUGUGAAGGCCGCCUUGGCAGACGACUUCAACACGCCCGCAGCGGUGGAUGCCAUCAUGGACCUCAUCCACCACGGGAACAGACAACUGAAGGCGCGCACAAAGGAACCCGGCGGUCCCAGGAGUCCUGCUGUGUUUGGCUCCAUCGUGUCCUACAUCAAACAGUUCUUCGAGACCGUUGGGAUUUCUCUGGCAGACAGACAGUUGGUUUCAGAGGACAGCAGCCGGGCUACUCUACACAGCGUGGUGGAGGAGCUGGUCCGGUUCCGGCUCAAGGUCCGGCAGUUCGCCCUGGCCACAGAAGCGGCCACCAGGGAGGCUGGACGGCAGCAGCUCCUGGACAGGCGGCCCCUGCUAGAGGCGUGUGACACUCUGCGCCAGGACCUUGCUGCCCAUGGCAUCAGCAUUAAGGAUAGGAGCAGCACAUCCACGUGGGAGCUGCUGGAUCACAGGACCCAAGACCACAAACCAGGGAGCUGAGGACUUCCAGCACAUUCUGUGCUUAAGUCACGGCAGUGAAGAAAACCCAGGAAAAAGACUGAGUACACUCUACACACAACCCUCUCCCGCACAGCAGGACCACCAACGGGCCAGGAACACAACACAGGACAUGCCACACACACGCUGUCUCUGCUCCACCCCGCAACAGUCAUCUCAGCAGCAGAGAAAAACCAGGCAGGUGUCACAGUUGGAAUGAAGACCAAAGCUGCCCCAGCUCCAUAAGCCUUAGGGCGACCUGGAGAGCCUCAGGACCGUCACAUGCACCGCACCCAGGACGGGCAGGGGCCUAGGGUGUCAGCUCGUCCUGGGUCCUCAGCUCGCCUGCUGUUCCUUCACCACCCUGAGCCCUCCAGAGACUUUCUGUAUUGGAGUAAAACCCGUGUCGUCUUCCAAGGCCUUCCAGCCCCGCUGUGACCCGUGCACCUCAGUCUCCCAUCACUGCUCCUUCUCUCUCAACUCUUAACUUCUUUGCCCUUCGCAUAACCAGCCCAACAUGUCCCUGCUCCUCCCGACAGUGACGUGGCACACACAUGCAGCAUGAGCUUUAUCAGUGCCCAGCCAUUCCUGAACAGAUCCACACCCCUCCUCUCCCACUUCCAGCCUUUUUUUUUUUUUUCUCCUUAGGACUUUUCACUAUGUGACCUCUUCUCUCAUUUAUUCAUUCGUUGUCAUCUAUAUCACCGUGACUAUAGAGAUUAGCUCCAAUGGAAAAUGUCUGUUUUGUUCUGUACCAUAUGCUCAGAGCAUGGAACAUGGCACAUGGUAGGUGCUCUCUCUCUCUCUCUCUCUCUCUUUCCUGAGGCAUAAUUUACAUAACAAUUCACUGAUUAAGUGUGCACUUCCAUGAGUUUGAACAAAGGUACAUAAUCAUGUAAUCACUGAUGUGGGAAGCAAAGGCAAAAGAAACAUUAAACUUCCUUACUACUUCCAGACCACUGAGAGGUCCUUGAAACAGGCAGAGUGACCUUCGUCUAGGAGCUCAGCUGCCUCAUGUGGACACUUUGCUCAGGGCAAGCCCAAUCUUUCAGGACCCUGUGAGUCUACCUUAACUUACAGAAAUCCCUUUGGAAACUUCCUUUAUCUCUACUCCCCCUGAGAUAGAUGUCAGCGAUCACCCUCCAGACACACAGCCCAGUGACACACGUCUGAAGGGUCUCAUGACAGGCUUUGCUAGACAGCAGUGAAUGGCCUUCUAACAAGAGCUAGUGCCCUUGGGUCCUGGAAACCGUGUUUCCAAAAUACAAUGCCUUGGAGGCUUGUGCUCUCCCUUACCCCCUCCAACUUUAGAGUAUGGAAUCAGUCACCCUCAUGACCCCCCUGAAGCUCUUUCUGCCCAUGGGUCCUGUCCCCAGGCUGUAAUAAAACCACCUUUUUGCAUCACA